Triticum aestivum (bread wheat) is the source of this 1637-nucleotide long non-coding RNA. RefSeq lists it as uncharacterized. The record is from RefSeq and is a predicted model, not a curated record. Lineage: Eukaryota; Viridiplantae; Streptophyta; Magnoliopsida; Poales; Poaceae. The transcript has 3 exons.
UCCUCCACAUCUCUCCACAGAGUGGCGGCGGCUGCGCCGACGCAAGCCGAUGGAGGCUUGUCAGCGUCUUCUCCUUCCAUUCUUCUCCACCGGCCGACUGUCCACAUCCUUCUCCUCGUGCAGUCGUGCUCCUACUUCGCACCACUUCUUCUAUGGCAGCGCUAGAGAACCAGAUACUACGUGCUUGUCGACGACCGCGGAACAACAUCGACCAGCCGCAGCCGCAGCCGCAGCCGCUGGCUGCUCCGCCGCCGUAUCAAUCCUUCCCCGGCUUCGGCGCGGGCCUCUGCACCUGCGCUGCCAGUUCGAUCGACGACGACCGCGUCCGCUCUACAUGUACUCUGCCAAAUAGCACAAGCGCAGGAAUCUGCCACAAAAUAUGGAGUCGAAGAGGGUGAACAUUGUUGAUUGUCUAACUGAUGAUAUAUUGGUGGAAAUCCUCUCUCGAGUGCCACCCAAGUCUUUUUGCCGCUUCAAAUGUGUGUGCAAGGCUUGGCUUGCCUUCUCCUCUGAUCCUCUCUACCGUCGGAAGCUGCCAAAAACUUCCACUGGUCUUCUCUACAAACCUCAAUACGGGUCUGCUAUUCAGCUUGUUGGCAUGUCCCCAAAUGAUGAGGAAAUUGAUGGAGCUUUUACAUUCAUCCCUCAGUACGAGCAAUUAGAACUUGUGGACUAUUGCAAUGGCCUGGUACUUUGCCGGUACAAGAGCAGAUAUACUUCUGCAGAAACUUGCCGCUUCAUUGUUUGCAACCCAGCAACACGAGAGUGGAGGACGCUGCCUAUUCUUAAUACUCCAUAUGGCCCAAAUGUCUCCCCCUAUACAGCUUUUUUGGCCUUCGAUCCAUCAUGGUCGGGAAAGUUCUAUGUCUUCAACUUUCAGGAGAAGUUAAAAAACAACUUGCCACUUGUUAUCUACAAACUUGAGGUGUUCUCGUCUGACCUAUGUGAGUGGCUUGUCGAUGAUGCAUGGAGUGGGAACCAUAGGAUAAUGGUCAAUAAACCACACAACUUUAUAGGUGGGGUGUUUCAUGUGCAUAGCAACACUAGUGAGAUUCUUGUGGUUAAAGGCUUGAGUUCUGGCAUAAUGCCAUAUCAUUAUACUAUCAAGCUGCCGGGUGACUGUUGGAAUGGUUGCUUCAGCCAAUCAAUGGGGCUUUUGCAGUGCGCAUUUCCAGAGGAGGGCGGCAGUACAAUUGCAGUUUUCACUCUUGAUGAUUAUCGUCCUUGCAAGUGGUCUCUAAAGCAUCGUUUUUGUAUGGGAGAUGCAUUUGGAAGGGACAACUUCCUUCCCAACCGAGAUUAUCUGUCCUGGUUGUGUUUUUAUCGGAUUGUUGCUCUUGACUUGGAAAGAGGGGUCCUCUUCCUCGUUGACAAGGAGUCAAAUAAGCUUUUCUCAUACAAAACUAGCACAGGGCAACUUAGUGAGAUUAAAGAUGGUCGCCUCGGUUGGACCUGGGAAUGCUUUUAUUACGUGGCAUGCUACUCAAAGCUCCCAGUGCUGAGCCGUUUAUGUGAUGUAAUUGAGUAGUAGCAUGUCUUUGUGCAUCUUCUUUUUCCUAACAUUGCAGUGGAUGCAUGCCCCUGUUUCUCCUUUGUACGCACGAAAACUGGCUAAUGAUAUUUAAUUGUGGCACCUA